Trifolium pratense (red clover) is the source of this 239-nucleotide long non-coding RNA. RefSeq lists it as uncharacterized. NCBI's taxonomy places the organism in Eukaryota, Viridiplantae, Streptophyta, Magnoliopsida, Fabales, Fabaceae. The transcript is spliced from 3 exons. The record is from RefSeq and is a predicted model, not a curated record.
CACUGAUACACUUCUUUGCUCUCUUCAACAAUGUCUGAAGAUCAAACUCAUAAAAUGUUAAACGCUUAUAUCUAUGAUUACCUGAUGAAGAAACAAUUGUAUGAAACAGCCAAAGUAUUUCAUGAGGAAGGUGCCGUUGAAACUGGUAUUGUUAUGGAUGCACCUGGUGGCUUUCUCUACGAGUGGUGGUCGGUUUUCUGGGAAUUGUUUAUGGCCAAACAAGGUCUUUCAAACUCAGA